GAGUUUGAUCCUGGCUCAGGAUGAACGCUGGCGGUAUGCUUAACACAUGCAAGUCGAACGGUCUUUUAGGAGAUAGUGGCGGACGGGUGAGUAACGCGUAAGAAUCUGCCUUCAGGUCGGGGACAACCACUGGAAACGGUGGCUAAUACCGGAUGUGCCGAGAGGUGAAAGGCUUGCUGCCUGAAGAAGAGCUUGCGUCUGAUUAGCUAGUUGGUGUGGUAAGAGCGCACCAAGGCGACGAUCAGUAGCUGGUCUGAGAGGAUGAUCAGCCACACUGGGACUGAGACACGGCCCAGACUCCUACGGGAGGCAGCAGUGGGGAAUAUUGGACAAUGGGCGAAAGCCUGAUCCAGCCAUGCCGCGUGAGUGAUGAAGGCCUUAGGGUUGUAAAGCUCUUUCAGUAGGGAAGAUAAUGACGGUACCUACAGAAGAAGCCCCGGCUAACUUCGUGCCAGCAGCCGCGGUAAUACGAAGGGGGCUAGCGUUGUUCGGAUUUAUUGGGCGUAAAGCGAGCGCAGGCGGUUCCUUAAGUCUGAUGUGAAAGCCCACGGCUCAACCGUGGAAGGUCAUUGGAAAACUGGGGNAACUUGAGUGCAGAAGANGAGAGUGGAAUUCCAUGUGUAGCGGUGAAAUGCGUAGAUAUAUGGAGGAACACCAGUGGCGAAGGCGACUCUCUGGUCUGUAACUGACNCUGAAGCUCGAANGCGUGGGGA
This 713-nucleotide ribosomal RNA is filed under the name uncultured bacterium. Its description in RNAcentral is "bacterial SSU rRNA". It matches the Rfam family "Bacterial small subunit ribosomal RNA", at positions 9 to 767 of the family's 1533-position model. The record is from RNAcentral.